Panthera uncia (snow leopard) is the source of this 3837-nucleotide long non-coding RNA. RefSeq lists it as uncharacterized. Lineage: Eukaryota; Metazoa; Chordata; Mammalia; Carnivora; Felidae. The transcript is spliced from 4 exons. The record is from RefSeq and is a predicted model, not a curated record.
AGACACAACAUUGCAUAUCUUUAUAAACACUAAUUUGAAGGCUGCUAAAAUAAUGUUAUAGAACCUUAUACCUUAUACAAAAUCACACUAGGCAGAAUCUCAUUUUGCCAAACCCGAUAGGACAUCAAGAUUAUUAAGUUGGCUAUCUAAUUUUGCUUUUUUUUUUUUUUUUUUUUUAAAAAGCUCAUUUGCUGAGAUUCUAUAUUGAAGGGGUGAGUGAAAAUGUUUAUUGGAGUCUAAGUUGAAAGCAAAUGGUCUUUCUCUAUUAUAUCUGCAGACUAACAGGUCAAUUACAGUUCAAACAUAGCAGGGGUUGGUAGAAUAAAUACAGCUAUGCUUCUAUUGCUUUCUUGGUAGUAACUAUAUUUGAAUGCAAAUAGAAACUACUUUAAAACCAUUUAGGUUGCAAAAUGGUGUCUGGUGUUAUCUUUGCAAGGAAAUCUGAAAUACAUUGUAAUACGCUGUUAAACAUUUGUAUGGAUGGUGGCCCCUGAAGUAAAUUUAUAAUCUGUAGUUUAAUUCAUCCUGCUUGGAUCCAGGAUGUUUUCUGGAGUACCUCUGGCACUGAUCUCUCCCCAGUUCACACACCAAUGUGAUUUUCCUAAAGCUUCAAUCACAUCUCAUCCUUGCAAAAACCUUCAGAGGUUUGCCACUACCUCCACACCAUCUCAACACUUCUCAAUACUGUGGCCCUGAGCCACAUUUAAGGCUACUUCUACCACUAUUUCAUUUAACAUACUUACUUUGGCACUUUUCAGGCUAUUCCUUAUGCUUGACACUUCCUCCCAAUUUCAGUGGUUGAUAUCCUAUGUAUACUUGGUCUGAGGUCAAAAUGCUCUUCCUCCACAGCCAUUUCUCACUUGAAAAUUCCUUCUAUAUUCAUCCAUACCUCUGGUGACCUUUUCUCACUCUUACCCGGUACUAUAAUUAGUGUAGAUAUUACACCCUCUUUACUGAACUAUAAGCUUCUGGAGGGUAGUAUAUGAAUCUCUCUCACUUUGCAUGCCCACAGUACAGUACUGUGACAUUCAUAAAAUGGUCAAAUCAAUGGAUUGUUUUUCAAACUUAAUGUCCCCGAUUUUAAAUUGUACUUAUGUACCUUAGGUCAAAGAUGAAAGGCUUUAAUGGCCCACAGAUAAUUACUUUUUAAUUAUCACAUCAAAUUUUAGAUGAUGAUUCUAAAUACAAAUCCUGAAAUUUCUCCCCAAAGCGUACAUGUGUUAAGUUUACAUAUUCUUGCUCAUUAUAUACAAACACAUAGUAAUUCCCAUAUGAUAACUUAGUUUUUAAUUUGGAAAUCUAAAACUUUCCUCUGAUUAAAUAAUAGUGCGAUUUUAAAAUAAUAUAUAGAACUUAAACAGUUCACAUAUACUGUUAAAUCCCACUAUUAAUGUGUUAUCUAUAUAGUAUUAUACAAUGAAAAAGGAGAAAGAAUUUCAAAUUUCAAACAAAGUAUGACCCAUAUCCUGUAGUAGCAAAAAUUAUUUUCAUUUUCGCUCCCAGUAAGAGAUACUAAGGAAUGUAUCAAUUAGUCCUACAAAAUCAAUAUUCACUUUAAGUAUAGUAACAGAGGAACACUGUUAUCAAAUUAUUAACAAAUAAUUCUGUAAUGGCAUAACUAUGUUCUAGAAAAUAAACAUCCUCUGUGUAGAGUAUAAUGUAAGAUUUUUUUAGGUCACCACUUGUGUUUCAGACUCUGCUUAGUUCCACUAAUGGCACUUGACUCUAAACUAGGUCCACAUUGUCUCGUUAGACCCAAGUAUGUAAUAGUAGCAAAUAUUUUUGAGCACUUAAUAAUUUAAGCACAAUUCUGAGCACUGUAUAUGUACUACUUCAUUGAAUCCUCAUAAAACUAUUUGGUAAAUUCUAUUGCUAGUUUCACUUCAUAAAUGAAGAAACUAAGGAACAGAGAAGAUUGCUAAAUUGCCCACCUCACUCAGGCAAGAAAUAAAAAAGUGAGGAUUCAAACCUAGGCGCCAGUGGCUGACAUUAACCACCAUCUCUAUUUGCCUCAGUAAAGUAUCAGAAUAAUCCAAAAAACAGACUGUAAAGAGACUAUCUUGAACCACUGUGCUUUUUACCAUAUGAUACAUCAAAUGCAAGAAUUCUUCAAGAAUUUACCAAAUGCCACAGUCCAACAGUCUCUCUUGUUUUCUCCUUGUACAGGUUCCAUAUUGGCAACAGGAUCAUCUUUUUGCCUUGGGUCCCACACCUUCACAGUUCCUGUUGUGAAUACAACUUCUUUUGAGCCCUUAAUGAGCACUGCCAUCAUUCAACUUGGAACUCAAAGUCCUGAGCACACUCAGUGAUUCUCAGAGAUGAUCUAUCUAGGACCUCUGCACAUGACUUACCAGUUACAUAUUUUUCAGUGUACCAUCAUGCUGGGCACAGCAAAUCUACAGUCGAACUGGCUGAAGCUUGUCUAAAUCCAGGUUAGUUAAGAGAAAGGAAUGCAGGAAAGCACCCACUACUGUGGGUGUCUGAGUCUACCCAAGAUGGCAGGGUGAUGAAUGGCUCAAGUAAGUUAUGUUAAUACACCCCUUCUCCUGCCUCCCUCUUUUCUCCUGGAGCUUCUAUCCACAUUUCUCUUUAACAAGUCAGUUUUUGAUAACUUAUACUUAAAAAAAAAUGAAGGUAGCUAUUCACGAAAUGUAAUCCCAACUUAUUACUAGGCCAAGAUUUAUUAGUAAAAUCUCCCUAAUUAAAAUUUCAGAUAGCUCAACCUAGGAGACUAUGUUUAUUUUUGUAGCAUCAUUGUGAAAGAAUCAGGACUAAACAGGACUGAGAUUCCACUUCAAAGAAUUGCUUUACUGUUUGACUUUAAAAUACUGCUUUUUACAACACAAAAUUAUAAGACUUAACAAUGAAAAUAAGUCAGUAAUACCUGUGACUAUGCUAGGAAACUCUAUUAGGGAGACAGUCAAUAAUUAUAUUUGUUGCUUAGUCUUAUGCUGAAAUAUUUUUAAAAAGAACAUUCAGACUGGUUUCUCCCAAGUUCUCUGAAAGUAUAUGUAAGAACUGAUGCAUUCUAAUAAAUGCUAACUUAAUUAUUAAGCAGUUAAAGCAAGGGGAAUUAAAAUAGCUUCAUUCUAUUUUAUGAUUCAUGUCAGUAAUUUAAUAAGAAAGCAACAGAUUCUAAGUGAAAAUCAAGAAAGGUCACCUUAGAAAACAUGAAGUAGAGAAGAUAGUUUCUUUCUAGAACAUUACUAUAUACUUUAAACAGUAAAAAUAAGACAUAUUCUUGAAAAGUAAUUGAGGAAUUUCAGUUCAUGCCAUCUAAUUUAAGUAGGAAAUAACUCAAGGUAGAACAUGAAAAUUAUAAGCAUUUGGCAUAAUUAUGGUCUUGUUCAUUUGCAACAGGUUUACAUUGAUUUGCUCAAUAGAUGUGUUCCCAAAAAGUUGUGCUUAGAUGUGCAGAAUUUUUUUAAUGAAUUGGGAAUUCUACAUUAAAAAAUUCAAACAAAGAAAAACUCAGUGUAUCGUUCUAUAAUGCCAAAUGUCUCACUGAAAUAUAAACAGUAUCUUAAGUUUUCCAUGUUUUACAUGUGUGGGGAAUAGCCCUUUAUGUACAAAUACAGGGGAUUAAAUGCUAGCACCAAACAGCAUGUGUGGAAAUAAAUAUUGGUAACAUUAUUCAAACUAGCUAAAGAAAAACAGUAUUUUUAAAUGGAUUUUGAAUAUGAAAUCUAGAAAUAUAUAUUAAAGGACAAUUCUUACAUUUUUAUAAAUAGUUAAAAUUGAACAAGGAACAUUUUAAAAUAAGAAUCCUCCCUUUCAGAGGAAGAGUAACAAGACUAUCAAGGAAACUGCCUAUCUUGCGUCUUAAUAUUGACUAAA